This 306-nucleotide unclassified non-coding RNA is filed under the name plant metagenome. Its description in RNAcentral is "partial contains 5.8S ribosomal RNA, internal transcribed spacer 2, and large subunit ribosomal RNA". The stretch from base 1 to 105 matches the Rfam family "5.8S ribosomal RNA", at positions 50 to 154 of the family's 154-position model. The record is from RNAcentral.
GAAAUGCGAUAAGUAAUGUGAAUUGCAGAAUUCAGUGAAUCAUCGAAUCUUUGAACGCACAUUGCGCCCGCCAGUAUUCUGGCGGGCAUGCCUGUCCGAGCGUCAUUUCAACCAUCAAGCCCCCGGGCUUGUGUUGGGGACCUGCGGCUGCCCGCAGGCCCUGAAAACCAGUGGCGGGCUCGCUGUCACACCGAGCGUAGUAGCAAUCACCUCGCUCAGGGCGUGCUGCGGUUUCCGGCCGUUAAACAGCCUUACAAAACCCAAGGUUGACCUCGGAUCAGGUAGGAAGACCCGCUGAACUUAAGC